UACAGAGGGUGCAAGCGUUAUUCGGAAUUACUGGGCGUAAAGGGCGCGUAGGCGGCCCGUCGAGUCGGGUGUGAAAGCCCGGGGCUCAACCCCGGAACGGCACCCGAGACUGGCGGGCUCGAGACCGGGAGAGGAGGGUGGAAUACCCAGUGUAGAGGUGAAAUUCGUAGAUAUUGGGUGGAACACCGGUGGCGAAAGCGGCUCUCUGGCCCGGUUCUGACGCUGAGGCGCGAAAGCGUGGGGAGCAAACAGG
RNAcentral lists this ribosomal RNA (253 nucleotides) under uncultured bacterium. Its description in RNAcentral is "partial 16S ribosomal RNA". It matches the Rfam family "Bacterial small subunit ribosomal RNA", at positions 524 to 776 of the family's 1533-position model. The record is from RNAcentral.